Molecule: long non-coding RNA, 336 nt
Filed under: Gopherus agassizii (Agassiz's desert tortoise)
Lineage: Eukaryota; Metazoa; Chordata; Testudines; Testudinidae
Description: lncRNA (ENSGAGG00000001436.1)
Source: RNAcentral
CAACAGAUCACAGAAACCUAUGUUAUAGUCAACAUACCUUUUAAUGGAUGUGGUACAAUAAGACAGACUCACACAAGAGAGAGUUUCUGGAAAAAGAUGAUGUACGCAGCCCAUUUGUUCUUGCCACUUUGCUCCUGGCAGGAGUUGUUUUGGUUCUCACUGGGGCCCUUUUGAGAAGUAAACUGAGAAGAGGAACUGAGUACCAAGUGCUGUGAGAGGCAAGGCAUCACGUGAGGUGGCUCAGCCUCGUUCUUCAUGAAUGUAUUCAAUGUCAAACAUUUGCACAGUGAUUUAAUAGAUAACAGUAAAUUAAUAAAGGAAAGUACUUGGCUUUCA